Molecule: non-coding RNA, 38 nt
Organism: Bacteroidetes bacterium 47-18
Lineage: Bacteria; Pseudomonadati; Bacteroidota
Source: Rfam
ACGGGGGAAAUCUGAAAACCCGAAUAAAAGAGUAAGAA